GGUGCUUGCAUCAUGAUUUACAUUUGAGUGAGUGGCGAACUGGUGAGUAACACGUGGGAAACCUGCCCAGAAGCGGGGGAUAACACCUGGAAACAGAUGCUAAUACCGCAUAACAACUUGGACCGCAUGGUCCGAGUUUGAAAGAUGGCUUCGGCUAUCACUUUUGGAUGGUCCCGCGGCGUAUUAGCUAGAUGGUGAGGUAACGGCUCACCAUGGCAAUGAUACGUAGCCGACCUGAGAGGGUAAUCGGCCACAUUGGGACUGAGACACGGCCCAAACUCCUACGGGAGGCAGCAGUAGGGAAUCUUCCACAAUGGACGAAAGUCUGAUGGAGCAACGCCGCGUGAGUGAAGAAGGGUUUCGGCUCGUAAAACUCUGUUGUUAAAGAAGAACAUAUCUGAGAGUAACUGUUCAGGUAUUGACGGUAUUUAACCAGAAAGCCACGGCUAACUACGUGCCAGCAGCCGCGGUAAUACGUAGGUGGCAAGCGUUGUCCGGAUUUAUUGGGCGUAAAGCGAGCGCAGGCGGUUUUUUAAGUCUGAUGUGAAAGCCUUCGGCUCAACCGAAGAAGUGCAUCGGAAACUGGGAAACUUGAGUGCAGAAGAGGACAGUGGAACUCCAUGUGUAGCGGUGAAAUGCGUAGAUAUAUGGAAGAACACCAGUGGCGAAGGCGGCUGUCUGGUCUGUAACUGACGCUGAGGCUCGAAAGUAUGGGUAGCAAACAGGAUUAGAUACCCUGGUAGUCCAUACCGUAAACGAUGAAUGCUAAGUGUUGGAAGGGUUUCCGCCCUUCAGUGCUGCAGCUAACGCAUUAAGCAUUCCGCCUGGGGAGUACGGCCGCAAGGCUGAAACUCAAAGGAAUUGACGGGGGCCCGCACAAGCGGUGGAGCAUGUGGUUUAAUUCGAAGCUACGCGAAGAACCUUACCAGGUCUUGACAUACUAUGCAAAUCUAAGAGAUUAGACGUUCCCUUCGGGGACAUGGAUACAGGUGGUUGCAUGGUUGUCCUCAGCUCUUGUCCUGAAAAUUUUGGGUUAAUUCCCGCAACG
This 1048-nucleotide ribosomal RNA is filed under the name Lactiplantibacillus plantarum subsp. plantarum. Its description in RNAcentral is "bacterial SSU rRNA". It matches the Rfam family "Bacterial small subunit ribosomal RNA", at positions 64 to 1094 of the family's 1533-position model. Lineage: Bacteria; Bacillati; Bacillota; Bacilli; Lactobacillales; Lactobacillaceae. The record is from RNAcentral.